GUGCGCUUCUGCCAUCUUUUCCCUUCCUAUCAGGAAAAGAGAUACUUAGGUGUGCUGAGCAAACCCUUGGAAGGAAAUGUGCCGAGAGUUCAAGUCAGCCAUUGCUGCUAGGCACCUUCAGACAAGC
Molecule: small nucleolar RNA, 127 nt
Filed under: Microtus ochrogaster (prairie vole)
Lineage: Eukaryota; Metazoa; Chordata; Mammalia; Rodentia; Cricetidae
Source: RNAcentral